GAAGGUUGCCCCUGAGCUUCCUUUUCCAGAAUAAAAAAACUCCUACCACAUCUUCUAAUUGCUUUUAAAGGGGAGAAAAUGGGAAAACCCAUUUUCUGCUUUCCCGUUUAUUCCAAGUAUGCAAAAUUAAUUUGCCAGUUCUUGCUAGCUUUUCCUUGUUAGUAUGUUUUCCUGCAGUUUGCAUUAUCAUUUGUUUAAUGUAUUACAACAUCCUAUUUACUCCUGUUAAUAGUUUCAAGACCUUGACAUUUUCAAGACCUUGUAGUUCUCAAGACCUGGGACAUACGUUCCCUAGGAUUUCAAAGGUAAUGGCCUUUGUUUUAUGAAUCAUGCUUCUAGCACAACGUUCACUAGAUUCAGUAGCAGCAGUGUUAGGCCCAUACUGUUACAUCUUGCAGCAAAUAUAAAUAUAUGUUUAUUGAAUAUGAUAUUAAAUAUCCUCUAGCAAUUAGCCCUCCUUAUUGAUUGGUUCAAUGGCAAUAUAUACAAGUCAGUUCUCUUCCUGUAUCUCAAGUGUUCAAAGUGUAUUUAAUCACGAAUAGCCAUCUUACCAAGCAUGAAGCAAUCUGUGGAUCACAAAACCUGGACAUUUUACAGAUUUUGUAUGUUUUAUUUUAAAAUUAUACACUAAAAAUCUAUUUUCUGAUUUUUCCCUGUGAAUUUUGUUGAAAUUUGUGAAAAUUGUGAAAUUGCUUUGAUGCCUUGUUUCCUGACAUAGAUAUGCUUGCCCUUUUUUUUUUUUUUUCUUAUUUUUUUUUCUUUUUUUGUCUGGUACAAGAGUCACAAACUAUAAGCAAAAAAAUAAAGCCUUUCUGUCAUUCCAGUAUCUACUUCCAGUUUUAUGUGACAGAGUAUCUCAUACACAGGCACCAAAGUUGUUAGGAGUUGAUAGACUUGAUAAAAACACCAUUAUUUUCCUGAGAACAAAUGGGCCCAAGCAUCUCUUCACGAUACUGCCUUGAAUGGUAUAGCCUAACAAAAAGUUUGACAAAGUUAUGCUAUACCUUAAAAAAGCCUUUGAAGGAGUGACAUAGUCCUCAGAUACACUUUCUAUAUGAGCAGCGCCCUCUUUGCUGAGCCUCCUGAAGCAGCUGGCAACCCAAACAUGGGGGCAUCUGCACAUUGGUCAUAAUACGGCGUAUUAUUACUUUCCAACAUUUUUCUGUUUGAGUUUCACAGAUCAAUGCUCCAGAGAUGUGUUAGUCACCCUCAGGUCAUAAUUAAGAUGGAAAACACCAUUCAAAGCAAGGGACAGCCCAAAGUCCUCCAAGAAGUUCUGCAAGCCGACAUGCUGGCUCCUGAAGACCUUACAGAACAGAGAACUACUUCAGAAGGAACUGGGGGAAAUGAUGCUUGAACACUGCUGCAUGCGCUAGGAAAACAAGAAUUCCUCCUCCAACAGAACACGCUUUGUUCAGCACCAGUAAUAUCACAGGUGAGGACCAAACGGAAAACCUUUCAACAUAAACAAAGAAAACAAUAUAACACAACUGGAAAGCUUUUCAUCUCUAGUGUCACACAGAGAUACUGUCAGGAUGAGAAGUUAACACAUGGAAGCCAGCUGUAGCAACUAAAUGUCUCAAGGAAACUUGUUCUUACAUAAUGAAAUCCAUUCACAAGGAAUAUCACAGAAAGUUGGAGUGACCUGAUAAAAGUCAGAAGAGAUUACCAGAUUUAUUCUUGGAAAGGCAAGAAAGUAAAGCUCAAAGCCUGACAGACUCUGAAAAUGAUGAAAAUGUGACUGUUAAUUCAAAAGUUUUAUUUCCAGAUGUUCAAAAAACUGAUUUUUAAAGAUAGCAUGUUGCAUAACAUGUUGGAAAACCACCUGUAAGUGUUCAUAAAACAAACUAAGAAAAAAUCAGACAAACAGUUAUGUUCAGAAAUAUAGCAGGAUUUGCCAUGAAAAACUAAAAUUAUCUGGGCAGGGCUCUGGCUUUGCCAUGAACUCAUUAUUAAGAAAACCAUGCUGCUCUGCUGCCCCUGGAGCAGCCAGGGAAACUAAUUUGAGAAAAUGGUGACUUACAGAAAGAGGUUAUUAUACUGAGUUUAUACCAAGUGUAUACCUCAGUGCAACAGUGUAGGUAAGUACAAGACGUAUUUGAUAUGUGGUAUGACAUUGCUCCUUGCCCCUUCUCACUGGUGUGCAUUGUCAAGAAGGCCAUGGAAGCAGCAAGGGGCAAUGUGGGAUCAUCUCAUAACAUGGUGUUUAUUAGAGGAGCAGCCUCUCAUACCUGCUAGGCUUGCCUGUGUGAGACUGUGUAUUGCAAACGUAACUAAUACUUUCCUGCUGCUGCUGAACCUCUAGUUGUUAUAAUGUGUUGGAAGUUCUAGCUAACAUUAUUCAUUCCAUUUAUCUGAAUAGAUAGAAGCUAGAAUUAGAUGAAGUGAUUGUUGUACUUUAGAAAUGACAAGUUAAAAGCUUACGCUACCCUUCCCAAAUGUUAACAGUAAACUGAUGUCCUUAAUUGGAUGUCAAAGUAGCAUAAAUGUUUAAAUCAUUUGAAGCCCUUAAUAGAGCCUAAUUAAAGGUAAAAUCAUGGUUCUAUGCAUUUCACAUGGGCUUUUGCUCAGGUCAAGUAAAAUUCAGAUCUGAACUCCAACUUUUAGGAAGCCCAUAAUAAAAUGAGUCUCAUUAAUGUCAAAUGGUUUUUAAUCAGGUCCCAAAUCAAGCAGUUUGACAUUAAUGAGACUCAUUUUAUUAAGGACUUUUAAAAUCAGGCCCAUACACAGACACAGGUUGAGUUAACAAAGUCUGUACAUGUGUGUAAUGCAUUUGUCUAUGAAUCUUGUGCUGUUUGCGCAGUUGGUCUGCAUAGCACAUGAUAAGGAGACACUGAAGACUGACCUUUAAACUUCAUUGAUUUUACUGCAAACCUCCUUAAAUUUUUUCUUUAUCUUAUAAUGGUUGCUUUAUUUUAUACUAGCUGCAAAUUCUCUUAAAAGUCAAACACGGGUCCCCAGGUUGUGAAGAUGUAAAACUGCCUAUAUUACACAUUUCUUGCUAGUCUCAUAAGGAGAAUGAGCAGUGAAAUUUGAACCUUCUUGGAUCUGUUUCUUCCAGCAAGACAAAACAAAAGGGCUGUACUGUGCUGGAGAUUUUGACAAUGUGAGUGCAGCAGCGCAUUGAAAGACCUUCAUAAUUAGAAUAGUCUUUCCACAUUUGGAUGCGGAUGUAUCCCUAUCUGUGAUUGAGGGGAAAAGUCUGCAUAACAUGCUCACACUUGUAAGAAAUAUAUUUUUGCACAAUUAGAACUAACAAUUGCUAAACACAAUUCUGCUUAGAUUCAUACGUAUCUUCAUACACACAUAUCUUCUGUGGAUGUCUGCAGGCAAAAAUCCAUAUAUUCAAAAGACAUUUUUUUUUCAAAUUUUUUUUUUCUUAUUAGAGCAAAUUGUUGUUUAAAAUGUUUUAAAAACUUAAGUAAAGUAUUUACUGCUAACUGAGCACUCACAUGAAACCAAGUUGUCCCCAGGGAAGAGAAGAUAUCAGUGCCAUCAGAUUUCCUUCAAGAAUAUGUUUGGUUUGAAAGUUUAGAAUUAAAAAAAUACUGUUGAUAUUCCAACAGUUCUUUUCAUGUUACUGCAUGACCUUUGUUAGGAGUGGUCAAUUGACUGACUCCAUUAUGUUUGUGUGUUUAGCAGAUGUUACACAGUAAAUUAUUUGUUUGUAAAGUUACCUGUAUGAUUUUGAAGCUUGAUAUUUCUAUUUGCUUUACAGACAACUUGAGAGAUUUCCUUGAUAGCAAAUCAGUAAAGCAGGAGUAGAAAGGCAUUGCUGCCAAGCCAAUAAACCAUCUUACAGAUGAAUGUUAGAGACCUUAAUUUUCCUUUCAGUUAAGUAUUUAAGGGCAGUUUUCUGAUUUCUAGGCUUUUAAACAUUUCUAUGUCUGGAGGACAAGAAUUAUGCUCAUAGCUGUGCCUUUCAGGACAGCAGUUUCUUACAUCAUUCACACAGUGCUUUGAAGGUCAGGCUGUGUAGAGGUGUCUGGUGUGACUGAGGAUAGAUUUUUGAAAGAUGCUCUGUCAGCCUGCAGUAAGUCAGUAUGCUUUUUCAGUAAGGAGACCAUGCGCUGCAUGUCUUCAUUAGUGACCUGGUUUUAAUUUCUGUGGUGGAGCUAAAUAAACAGGUGCCUAAGAUGAAGAGUGCUUUCCUUCUUCAACUUAUGCAAUGCAGGCUACUCUAUAUUUGAUAUUCUCAGUGCUGUUUUCUCUCUGCUUCACAGUUUGGUUCAGUUUUCCACCCUAAGCCACUUUGCAGAGAACAGAGGUAUAUCAGUGUUUGUAGAGUGUGCCAUCCCCUUCCUGCCUGGGAAGCAGGAACAGAGCAUGGGGUGCUGUUGUAAUGAUGACCUUUGGCAAGCUGAGAUGCAAAGCACCCGGCAGGAAUUUCCUCCAGCACAAAGGUAUUUAACAAAUUCUCCAAUUCCGUGGUGGAACCUAGUCAGUAGGUGGUCCACUUGUCUGACUGCCUUUGCUUAUCCUCCUCUUUCGCUUAGGGAAGCUGCAGUAAGAGAAGGAAAAACAAAACAAAACAAAAUAAAACAAAACAAAAAACAUUAAACUGGAAAGAUGUGUGAUCUGCAUAAUUGCUCUAAUUGCAGCUAGUUCUGCAAUGAAUAGUCCUGCUGUCAAAUUCAACAGUGACUUAGGGGAAAAAAUAUCUACAAAUUCUUUACUAUAACAUGAAAGACAUGAAAAAAACUCUUAUGAUCAUUGCCAUUCGGUUUAAAGGGCCAGUGACUAAUAAAAAAAGAGGGGAAACAGUGCCAUUAUUGAAUUAUUAAACUAAAGAUUAAAUUGGAAAGCAUAAAUACACAAAAUUAAAGUAUGCACCUCUCUGGCCUUUUUGAGGUGCACAAAUUGGUAUUAUCAGUCAUGCAUGACAGAGGUAGUGGUUCAUCAGCAGCUGGUAUUUUUAACAUAAUUGUAGCAAAUGGUGUUUCAAAAGUAGAGUACUCUAUAUGUUCUGCUGUCUCAGGACUCCCAAGGAAACAAAGAAAGAAAACUACGUGAGCUGUUGACAGAAGCAAAAUGUCCUUCACAGACCUGAAGGCGCGUUUAAGAGGAAGGAAAGGCAACCAGCCCUAACCCUGACACCAACUUUCUGUGGCCUUGCACUGAUCACCCCAUGUCUUUUUCUUGACUUCUUUGUCUUUAAAAUAGAGCACGCUUACCCAUCUCUUUUUAGUGUUGUAACACUUAGUGUCUGGAUGAUGCAUUUUCUAUAGAGGAGUAAAAGAUUUAUAGGCUUCUUUUAAAAUUUGUUGUUGAGACACAAACAGUGUGAUGAAACUUCUGCUCAUAUGUGCAGUUUUAUAGACUAGAAACACAAUCAAAGUAUCCAAAUCCAAUGCCCACUAAGAAAGAAGUGGCACCUGAGACAGAUGUUUGUUACAUUCAUAAAUGUGAUAUGCCCCUUUGGCAUAUCCUGACUUGAAAAAUGAAGAGUGUCCUUCCUAUUUUAUUUCUACUUCCAUUCUGUAGAGUUAGCACAGAAAUUAUUUUAUUUUCAUUUCUUCCCUUUGAAAAAAUGUGUACCUUCCUGUUUGUGGUGGGUUGACCCUAGCCAACAACAAAGCACUCGCCAGCUGCUCGUUCACUCCCUCACAUCCGGAUAGAGGAGAGACUCGGAAGAGCAAAUGUGAGAAGGAUAUAAUAGGUCAAGAUAAAGAAUUUUAAUAAAUAAAGGGAAAAAAAAAUGAUAUGACAGCAUAACAGCACUCACUUAACACCUCCCACAAGCAGACCAAAGCCCAGCCUGCCUCUGAGCAAAGACUACCUUUCAAAGAAGGCACACGUCUUUUAUUGCUAAGCAUGAUGUUAUCUGUCAUGAGAUACCCCUUUCAUCAGCUGGGGUCACUGGUCCAUGCUCUACCCUCUCCCAGCCUCUUGCACACCCCCAGCCUCCUUACUCAAUGGGGCAGAGUCAGAAACAGGGAAUGCCUUGAUGCUGCGCAGGCACUGCUCAGCAGUAGCUAAAACACGGGUGAAGUAUCAACAUUGUUUUGGUCACAGAUCUAAAGCAAAACACCAUAUAGGCUGCUGUGAAGAAAUUUAACUCCAUCUCAGCCAGACCCUGUACACUGUUGCAUCAUCUAAAGUGUGGUUGUUUGGUUUUGUUUGUUGUGUUUUCUUUGUGUAUAUUUGUUUAUGUUUGUUUGUUAGGUUGUUUGUUUUCCUGGGAUUUAGACUCAUUCUAAAGUUCCAAUGUUUUGUCAUCUCUUUGUAUGUAUAUGUUGGGUUGAGAUGACUUUAAGUGUAGUUCCAGGCACCUCAAAUGUUGAAAAACAAACGGCAUUUAGACUAGAGCUUGUUUCUACCUAACCUGAACCAAAUCCUUAGAUUCAAACAUACCAAAGUCAGAAAUGUUAACAUUUGCAUAUGAGCUUUUUUCUUGAUCACCAUAUUUCAUUGUGGAAGUGGGUAAAGUAAAGGAAAACAAGGUUAAAUAAAGUCAAAGUCUUGUCCAUGUGUAGUGGGAGCAGUCCUUUUAAAAAGUUUGAAAACACAGUGUGAUUUUUAAUGUUUUUAUUUUUGUGAAUUUUUGUACUUCCUUGUUUUUUUUCCAUGGUAGAAAGCUAAAAAGCCUCUUCUGGUGAAAUAUCUGUCCUGACUGGAAGCAGGAAGUACUGUAAAUGGCAUAAGAAAGCAUAUUAUCAUGACAUUUCCUGUCCAAUUUUGCUGACUGGAUAUUCAAUGCAAUCAUAUUCAAAAUGUCAACUGAUUUUGCCUUGUUCCAUGCCUCUCAUCACAUCCCUUUUCACAUCCUUCAUCUUCUGCUCCCUGUUUCUCUAUAGGGCACAUCUUGGUGCCUGUUUCAUACCUUCUCACAGAAAACUUUUCUGUUACGGAUAUAUAUAUGUAUCUAUACGUACGUACAUAUAUAUGUGUAUAUUCUUCAGUCAAGGUAGCAUGAUUAAUCAGAAUUAUUGAGCAGAAUGGCUUUGAAUAUUGGCUACUGAUACAGAUUCGUUUUAGUGUAAGAGCUAAUGCAGAACAAGCUGCUAUUUUUAGGCAUCAUUGAAAAAGUACAUGCACAUGAAUGGCUGGUAGAGAAUUCAUCUAUCUUCAUUGGGCACUUUCAGUUGAAUCCAGGCACCAAAUAAACAUUUCAGGAAAAAAAAAAAAAAAAAAAAAAAAAAAAAAAA
Molecule: non-coding RNA, 7148 nt
Organism: Anas platyrhynchos (mallard)
Lineage: Eukaryota; Metazoa; Chordata; Aves; Anseriformes; Anatidae
Source: RefSeq, a predicted model, not a curated record